Long non-coding RNA from Papaver somniferum (opium poppy), 2434 nucleotides. RefSeq lists it as uncharacterized. The transcript has 2 exons. The record is from RefSeq and is a predicted model, not a curated record. NCBI's taxonomy places the organism in Eukaryota, Viridiplantae, Streptophyta, Magnoliopsida, Ranunculales, Papaveraceae.
AGAAAGUCAUUUUCUCUUCUCCUUUCUCUUUCUUCUUCUCCGUUCUUCUUCUCUGUUCUUCCUGUACGAGUCGAGUAAUGGAAUUGAGAUCGGGUUAGAUAGAUAUUGACUGAUGAAAUUAUUCAGAUGGUGAAGGAGGUGUUGUCGAUGUAAUUUAGGGAGGAAGAGAUUAAAGAUUUUUAGGAUUUCUUUUGCGGUGAUUAAACAGAGAAAAGCUGAAUUAGGGUUUACAAGUCUGAGUAAUGUUUUGAGGAUUUAUAAGAUGAAAUAGAAUUAUUGUUAGAUGAAGAAACAUGGGUAAAGGUUUAAUUGAAGUUCUAAAGAUGAUUCCAUUGCAGAUCGAAGAAUUAUGAUUUCUUAUAGAACUGAUAUAAAGUUGAUUUAAUGAUGUAUGAGAAGAAUUGGGGGCUGGGUUUUGUUGAUUGAGGAACACAAUCAAGUUAAUUAGAUGUGAUGGAAUUGUUUUGAGGAAGAAUUGAAGAAUUAAGGAUUUCAAUUUAAGGUGAUUGCAUGUGAAUAUUAGGGUUCCUGAGUUCAGAAUUGCUUUUUACUGUCAAUAUAUCUAUUUUAAGGUGAACUUACUUUGGACUUGAUGUGGAGUAUGCAAAGUGUACAAGGGUUUUCUUGGUUCUUCAUGAAUCUUUGUUACUCACUUCGUGUAAGGUCAAAUGGCACUAGCUAGUUGUACAAGGAAAUUGGGAGUUGUGUCUGUGUAUAUACUGGUUCUCGACAACUUUAAAAAUAUUGUUUCCCGAGAUUAUAUAGCUCUGUGACUAUUUGGUCGAUGGCCAAUAUGACGCCGGUAGAUGAGAACAUCCUACCCAAUUUAUUUUAUACUACCGUGUUAGUAUGGUACCCAAUUUGUUUUAUAUGAUCAUCGUUAGUAUGAUACUCAAUUUAUUUUAUAUGAUCAUCUGAAACAUGUUAUCUAUUUAUUUUGUCGUGCCAUUUGUUGUUUGGACAAUAGUUAUAGUUUGGACUAGGUUGGAUUGGGAACUGUUAUUUGUUACUGAAGUGGUGGUGGUGUGGACAGUAGAAGGUGUGAAAUUGCAGGCUAAGGGGAUGGUUUGGACAAAAGUAGGUUGUAGUUGUAUCUGCUCAGCUGCGAAUCUGUUGAAGUCUCUGCAAUGAAUCUGCAGAGAUGAGUAUUCAUUUGUCACUUACUCGCUGAGUUUUUCAUUGGAGCAGGACAUGAAGAAGAUGAUAGAGUUGCUGUUGGAAAUUGAAGUUAGGGUUCAUGGAGGAAAUAGAGGAAUUUGAAGGUUAUUGGUCCUGAUUGUAUGGAAAUACAGGGGAACUAGUAUUGAUGUGAGUUACAUGAAGAAGAAUGUUGUGUAGUGGUGCAGAUGAAUGUGAAAUGGAGAUAUGUUUGAAGUUUUAGUUUUGAGUAAUGGUGGUGUUGUAUGGAUGUUGGCUACAUGGAGCUGUGUUGGUUGCAGUUGCAAUUGGGUUGUGCUCUGAGUAUGCAAUUACAAAUGACAUGAAGUUGGGAUUGUUAUGAUUGAAUUGGAAUCAAUCAUUUGAAUAGCAUUUAAACUCUUGAACUGUCCCUGAUACUCUUCAAGAACAAAAUCUAGUUUAGACUCUAAUGAAGAUAGAUAUUGUGUUAAUGUUAAUGAGAAGAAUAAUGGGUUUUUGAAGAGAAGAGAAGCUUUGGUUUCUGAGGUUUCUUUAGUUUCUUCAUCAAUUCUUAUGGGGAGUUUUCCAAGUGAUGGAUUAGCUGUUUUAAAACAAGGACUUUUAGCUGGAAGAGUUCCUGGUUUAUCCGAUCCUGACGAACAAGGUGCCACUUAAUAUGAAAAGAAAUUGCUCAGACAGGUUAAGGACAUAUAGAAGGCCAGAUGCGAAAUCAGGAGGGUGUGGUGUAGGAUGAAGUCCAAUCAUUCCAUACACAUUUUCGGUUCCUCAAGGUUGGGAAGAGGUAACCAAUUUAGUAACAUUCAAUUUCAAUUAAAAACAAUUUGGAUUCUACCAAAUGAAGUUUUCAGUCUCAGCUGGGUCAACCUAGUACAUUUACAGACUUGUGGUUCCUAAUGAUUUUGUUUCGGUUGACACCUGGAGAGGUGUAACUCGAACUACUGCAAUGAAGUUUUGUUCGAUUAACUGGCAGCCUAGCUAUGAUGCAUUCUUGGGCUAUUCUGGCGCUGCAGUAGCCUAGUUUGAUGAAAAUGAUAUUAAAAGCUGUGAACAUUGAGGAAAUUUGUCUUAAAUAUUCCAAAAUUUAUUUGGGUUCCUUAUUGGAAGGUUUGGCAAUGUAAGUUCCAGUAUCAAUUGCAGAUCUUGGGGGGACAUGAAUCGAUUUGAGAUUUGCAAGUUCUCAGGCAGGGCGCUUAUUUGUCAUUGUUGCACCAGUUCUUAGUUUUUUGAAUAACAUUGUAAAUGGAUUUGACAGUGUUGGUAUUAUUUACGUGGUCUAUCAAUCAUUUUUUAGGUA